GCUCUGUAACUAUCUGGUGGUUAAAAUAAAUUUCCCAUUCAAAUAUUUUUCUAACUUUUUAAUAACCCUAAUCGUUUCAACUUGGGGAAGGAAGGGGGUUAUGUUUGAUAGUCACUUUUGUUAUUUACACAAGUAAUAUUUUCCGUGCAUUUUAUUUGUUUAGUCAAGUAUGCUCUUUACAAUAAAGUCCUGCCUGCUAAUCUCUAUUUGCUGACUGACAUUUUUGUUUGUUUGUUUCCCCUAGGGUGAUAUUUGGGGAGGUAGCUUCUGAUGCUGCAGCAUGACCCUGGGUUGUGUUAACAGUGACCUCAAAUGUCUUGAGCAUGUUCCCCAAAUGUUCCAAAUCCUCCCUGCUCCCCCGAAAAUGUCAGUCAGUCAGAAAUGUUGACGGUUGUUUUUUUUUUUUUUUAAACUGGCAGUGCAGCUAGAUUAAGCCACUUGGGCUAAAUCACAUCUUCCGCGCUGGUGCUUUACACAGUUUAUUCUUCCUAACUGGAGAACCGCACAGACCCUUCUACCCCAAGUAAACUGUUGGAGUGGAAGGGGAAGAUGCUUUGAGGAAAUUUACUGUCUAUUCUCCUGUGACAGUUCAUCCCAACUGUAUGUCCUUGAUUCUCCACUAGAGGUCACUGGCCCAUCGCAGUCUCGCUGCACCUAGUUCCACCUCCAUUUCCUCUUACUCAAAUUAGCACUGCGUUAAUUAACACUGUAGUCCAUCAACGGGCGUUUCUCUGUACAGUACAGGAGCAGAGCUUAUAUAGACAAACCAAACCACAUAUAAAAAGCACCUACCAAAACUCUUCAUCAUGUACAAAAUGGGAAGCGCACGUCUGAGUGACCGGGGGCAAGAUUCAGACUAAGAAGAAGGAUCACAAGGGAUGGCAAUCAUCAAGAAAUGAAUAGAAGAUGGCUUGUGACUGAUGUAGAGAAGAAUGACUGAACUGACUGUUUGGAAUUAUUCUGGAAUUAGACUAGAAUGAGGUCUCCUCUCUGCCCAGCUAAGGAUACUCUUCCUGACCACAGGUAUGCUGCUGGGACUGAGGUGGAGUGUAUGGUGGAUUAAUCUUUGGGUUUCUGGCCCAUUUCUACAUCUCUCUGGCUCAUCUUCAAAACAAAAACGAUCAGCUAGGAAAAGCCUGAAGACUCAUGGCCACAGAUUCUUUAAAACACUUCCUCAAACUGACUGAUCUUUCAUCCGGGAAAUAACUCAUUGUGGAAACCCACCCACGCAGUCAUCCCAUCUGCUGGACUAGAGCAGUGUGGUGGACGUAUGCAGACCUAUCAGGGAGUUCCAGGUUGUGCUUCUUGCUGCGCACCCACAGCCGCACUCUGAAGAGGAAGACAUUGGUACUUGUAGUUCAUCUAAUAAACCUUCAGAUAGUUUAUUAUGGAAUUGGCUCCAAGGGCUGUCUUUGGUGUGAGAUCUAAAGUAGACUUGACCUGGGCAAUGCCCCCAGUGUGCUAUGUGUUUUCCAAACACAGAAGAAGCCAUGUUCUUGUCCCCAAGGAGCUCAAAGUGCUGUACUGGUAUCUUUUAAAAAGCAAUCCAUAUGACUUAUUAUGCAGUAUCUUAAAUACUUAAGGCAUCUAAUCUACAUCCCUUCAUCAACAUAAGAUACUGAUUUGUUGGAGUCAAGUCAAGUCUGUUGUAGCUGUUGACAUAUAUGCUAUUUUAUAGGAAAAAUGAAGUUUAGAACUGACUCUUGACACGUGAUGCACAUUUGGCAGGAGGCCAAGGCGAAUCAGAAUAAGCAACCAGAAGAAAAUGCCAAAUUCUAGAAAAUAAAAGUAGCUUAAUAUGUUUUAAUACCAAUAAAGUGGUUAAGGCAGGGAUCAUUCUACCUCAGGAACCAUCUUUGCAUUCAUGAGGAUGAGGAUAACUUCACUCACCAAGCAUAUGGAACCUAGACUUGCCCAGGAUGAAGUUUCUUAAACUCUUUUAUGGAGUCUGGUUAGCAAUUACAUGGAUUUUUGAGGAACAAUUCCAGAGCUUUGACUGAAUGAAAUAUACUGAAACCAAAAAGAAAAGCUUGGUCUUGAUUAUCUAUAUUACAGAUUAGCUUGAAGGAAAUAAUUAUUACCAAUCUGUACCAUAACAGCUGUACUUAACUGCAAUGUGACAUUUAAGGUCUGUGAAGCAGGGGAUGUCUUUUUGUUCUGGGCCUGUAUAGCAUGCAGCAAAAUGAGGUUCUAAUCCAUGAUUGGGGAUCCUAGAUGCUCCCAUAAAAUAAACAAUAUUAUAUUAAUAAUAAUAUUUCUAUUAUUCUAUUUGGAUUGUUGCUUUAAUUUUAUUUUUGAAGAUUUAUCUUUAGCUCUUGGAGCUAAACUGUCAAAGGCUCAUGCAUCAGGCCACUCCCAAAGCAUAUAUAGUCCUAAGGCCUGAUUCUCAUCUUGUAGAAAUGUAAGGCCCCAGUCUGGUAGUCAGAUCUAUGUGAGCAGUACCUGGGGACUGUGCAGAGCCCACUGACUUCAGUGCAGGUCCAGGCAGGCAUAAAUGUCAGCCCACACAGCUCUGAUUGCAGGAAAGCAGCUUUCAAACAGAAGUGACUCUGCAGAAGUCAGAUGCAGUUAGACCUAGGUAAAACAGUGAUGUAAGCAAAAGGAGAAUAGGACCCAAAACACACUUGCAUAUGCACAUUCAACCAAAGAAAUAAAACACCUGCACAUGUAACCCACACACCUCCUGGGUGUGCUGUUCUGUCCCAUCUAGUGGCACUGAGACCACUUAAAGAGAGAGGUAAAAUCAGCCUGCUCUUUUAAAAUGAGUCUGCCAGCUGGCUUUUAGCUCAUGCAUUAGAGGCUCGUGCACUAAGCUCCAGAGUUCCCCGGUUCAAUCCGUGACCAGGGUCUAUCGGCGUUACACACGCAUAUGCAGAUGAGGGCUUUGCAGGUGCAACGGGUGGUGCACAUUUUGUAUCCUGCACCUCUUGUACUGGGCUUUGAAAAUUUGGCCAUUUUAAUCAGUUCAGUUGUUUACAGCCAUCUCUUAGGUGUAAUGAACAAAUAGAUAUCAAGGAAAUUGAAGUUGGUUUAUUAGAAACCUUUUAAUUUUUUAUAAUUUUAAAAUGGAAAUCAACAGGGAAAAUACCAGAUUCAUUGCUAAUAGGUGAAGUGUGACUUUUCCAAUAUGUUAAGAUUAUAUUUUAUUAGUUCAAGAAAAAUAUGGUUAUAGAAAAUUAAUAUAUUUACCACUCCUUAAAAGAUUUUGCAGAAUUUUCUGUCUUCUCUCUGUUUCUUUCACAUUAUAUUUUACCUUUUCUGAUAUUUAUGCUUUUUGUUUCACAUGUUCAGCAAUCACAGUAUAUCUCUUAUACUCAUGGUUUUCAAUCAAAAUAUAUUUAAAAUUGCAUUUAAUAAAUACCUUUAACAUAGUAUCAACAGAAUUUUAUUUUUGUUGAUAUUUCUGGCUUCACUAUAUGUCAAAAUGUAAUUGGUUUGUUAGGGACCAAUCCUACAUUCCUAAUUCAAGAUAAAACUUCCACUGAAAUCAAUGGGAAGUCAAUUGUCUUGGUAUGGAUUUCAAGGUUGAGCCUUUAGCUUAGUUUUAUGAGUGUAACAGAGCCUUAAAUAAUUGUUCUUACCAUUGUCUGGCAGAACAUUCUUUCCACCAGUCUAGUUUAACUGGUGGUGUAAUUAAUAUGUAUAAUUCCAAAUUUUGUAAUAAAAUAAACUGCAUAUG
Molecule: long non-coding RNA, 3679 nt
Organism: Chelonia mydas (Green sea turtle)
Lineage: Eukaryota; Metazoa; Chordata; Testudines; Cheloniidae
Exons: 11
Source: RefSeq, a predicted model, not a curated record